Molecule: small nucleolar RNA, 135 nt
Filed under: Sinocyclocheilus anshuiensis
Lineage: Eukaryota; Metazoa; Chordata; Actinopteri; Cypriniformes; Cyprinidae
Description: Small nucleolar RNA SNORA57 (ENSSANG00000005517.1)
Rfam family: Small nucleolar RNA SNORA57
About the family: U99 belongs to the H/ACA class of snoRNAs which are thought to guide the sites of modification of uridines to pseudouridines, the target for this family is unknown.
Source: Rfam by way of RNAcentral
CCUCCUUCUUGGCGUACUCGUGGUUGUUUUGUGUGCCCUUGUAUGUAUGUAGGGAGGAAUAAUAGAGCCAGUGCAAUGUCUUCGGUGCCAGCAUGUUCCCAUCGGCUGGUUCUAUCCUCAAUCACUGGAACACGU